AAUAGAUACCCUGGUAGUCCACGCCGUAAACGAUGAGUGCUAAGUGUUGGGGGGUUUCCGCCCCUCAGUGCUGCAGCUAACGCAUUAAGCACUCCGCCUGGGGAGUACGGUCGCAAGACUGAAACUCAAAGGAAUUGACGGGGGCCCGCACAAGCGGUGGAGCAUGUGGUUUAAUUCGAAGCAACGCGAAGAACCUUACCAGGUCUUGACAUCCCGGUGACCACUAUGGAGACAUAGUUUCCCCUUCGGGGGCAACGGUGACAGGUAGUGCAUGGUUGUCGUCAGCUCGUGUCGUGAGAUGUUGGGUUAAGUCCCGCAACGAGCGCAACCCUUAUUCUUAGUUGCCAUCAUUCAGUUGGGCACUCUAAGGAGACUGCCGGUGAUAAACCGGAGGAAGGUGGGGAUGACGUCAAAUCAUCAUGCCCCUUAUGACCUGGGCUACACACGUGCUACAAUGGACGGUACAAACGGUUGCCAACCCGCGAGGGGGAGCUAAUCCGAUAAAACCGUUCUCAGUUCGGAUUGUAGGCUGCAACUCGCCUAC
Molecule: ribosomal RNA, 544 nt
Filed under: uncultured bacterium
Lineage: Bacteria
Description: bacterial SSU rRNA
Rfam family: Bacterial small subunit ribosomal RNA
Source: RNAcentral